GGAAGAAGAAGCGGUCGUCAGGGCUGAGGGAGAGGGCAGCGACGGCCUUGGAGUCGCCCUCGAGGGUCCCCUGGAAAGAGGCCUCGGCAGCAUUGACGACCUUGAUUUGGUCGCCGCAGGCGAAGGCGAGGAAGGCACCGCCGCUGUAGAGCUGCGGCGGCGUAGGUACGCACCGGUGGUUCCACUCAGGCCCAUUGGAGACGCGCCAUCGUCGGGGGUGGCGAGGUUCUUGCUAGGGUUUGGAAGGUACCGGCAAGGGGGCAGAG
Molecule: long non-coding RNA, 266 nt
Filed under: Elaeis guineensis (African oil palm)
Lineage: Eukaryota; Viridiplantae; Streptophyta; Magnoliopsida; Arecales; Arecaceae
Description: long non-coding RNA (EGUI_LNC078195)
Source: RNAcentral